GGUUCGUCGCGUCCGGUGUGAAAGUCCAUCGCUUAACGGUGGAUCCGCGCCGGGUACGGGCGGGCUUGAGUGCGGUAGGGGAGACUGGAAUUCCCGGUGUAACGGUGGAAUGUGUAGAUAUCGGGAAGAACACCAAUGGCGAAGGCAGGUCUCUGGGCCGUUACUGACGCUGAGGAGCGAAAGCGUGGGGAGCGAACAGGAUUAGAUACCCUGGUAGUCCACGCCGUAAACGGUGGAUGCUGGAUGUGGGGCCCGUUCCACGGGUUCCGUGUCGGAGCUAACGCGUUAAGCAUCCCGCCUGGGGAGUACGGCCGCAAGGCUAAAACUCAAAGAAAUUGACGGGGGCCCGCACAAGCGGCGGAGCAUGCGGAUUAAUUCGAUGCAACGCGAAGAACCUUACCUGGGCUUGACAUGUUCCCGACGAUCCCAGAGAUGGGGUUUCCCUUCGGGGCGGGUUCACAGGUGGUGCAUGGUCGUCGUCAGCUCGUGUCGUGAGAUGUUGGGUUAAGUCCCGCAACGAGCGCAACCCUCGCCCCGUGUUGCCAGCGGAUUAUGCCGGGAACUCACGGGGGACCGCCGGGGUUAACUCGGAGGAAGGUGGGGAUGACGUCAGAUCAUCAUGCCCCUUACGUCCAGGGCUUCACGCAUGCUACAAUGGCCGGUACAACGGGAUGCGACAGUGCGAGCUGGAGCGGAUCCCUGAAAACCGGUCUCAGUUCGGAUCGCAGUCUGCAACUCGACUGCGUGAAGGCGGAGUCGCUAGUAAUCGCGAAUCAGCAACGUCGCGGUGAAUGCGUUCCCGGGCCUUGUACACACCGCCCGUCAAGUCAUGAAAGUGGGCAGCACCCGAAGCCGGUGGCCUAACCCCUUGCGGGAGGGAGCCGUCU
This 887-nucleotide ribosomal RNA is filed under the name Bifidobacterium breve. RNAcentral's name for it is "bacterial SSU rRNA". It matches the Rfam family "Bacterial small subunit ribosomal RNA", at positions 577 to 1458 of the family's 1533-position model. The record is from RNAcentral. Lineage: Bacteria; Bacillati; Actinomycetota; Actinomycetes; Bifidobacteriales; Bifidobacteriaceae.